UAUUAAAAAUUUAAAUUAUUUCUAUUGUUAAAUAUUAACGUGGUUGACAAAAUAAUUAAACAAUUACACAUGAUGUGCUAUAUGUACCUUAUGCUGACGUAUAAUGACUAAUUUUUAACCGUGGAAAUAGAUGGAAUUUUUAAUA
RNAcentral lists this microRNA precursor (145 nucleotides) under Gossypium arboreum. RNAcentral's name for it is "MIR7502 microRNA precursor family". It matches the Rfam family "MIR7502 microRNA precursor family". The record is from Rfam by way of RNAcentral. Lineage: Eukaryota; Viridiplantae; Streptophyta; Magnoliopsida; Malvales; Malvaceae.